RNAcentral lists this ribosomal RNA (497 nucleotides) under uncultured bacterium. RNAcentral's name for it is "partial 16S ribosomal RNA". It matches the Rfam family "Bacterial small subunit ribosomal RNA", at positions 28 to 507 of the family's 1533-position model. The record is from RNAcentral.
GAUGAACGCUGGCGGCGUGCCUAAUACAUGCAAGUCGAGCGAACGGACGAGAAGCUUGCUUCUCUGAUGUUAGCGGCGGACGGGUGAGUAACACGUGGAUAACCUACCUAUAAGACUGGGAUAACUUCGGGAAACCGGAGCUAAUACCGGAUGAUAUUUUGAACCGCAUGGUUCAAAAGUGAAAGACGGUCUUGCUGUCACUUAUAGAUGGAUCCGCGCUGCAUUAGCUAGUUGGUAAGGUAACGGCUUACCAAGGCAACGAUGCAUAGCCGACCUGAGAGGGUGAUCGGCCACACUGGAAGUGAGACACGGUCCAGACUCCUAAGGGAGGCAGCAGUAGGGAAUCUUCCGCAAUGGGCGAAAGCCUGACGGAGCAACGCCGCGUGAGUGAUGAAGGUCUUCGGAUCGUAAAACUCUGUUAUUAGGGAAGAACAUAUGUGUAAGUAACUGUGCACAUCUUGACGGUACCUAAUCAGAAAGCCACGGCUAACUACGUG